AACCAUAGAAACCUGCGGAGUACCUGCGGAAGGAUCAUUAACAAAUUAUAAUUAUAUAGAAUGUUAAUUAUUCACCCAAUUUUAAUGUGAAGUUUUGGUUAAAAGUAUGAUAACUCUGGUAUGGUUUUUUCAGACGGUUGUCUUUUUGAGAUGAGGUUUGAAAAUGAAUUGCCUGCCAGUAGUUUUUAUCUAAUAAACUACUGUUAUAUUUUGUGUGUGUAUUUGUUAUUCUGAUGAAAG
RNAcentral lists this unclassified non-coding RNA (240 nucleotides) under soil metagenome. RNAcentral describes it as "partial contains 5.8S ribosomal RNA, internal transcribed spacer 2, and large subunit ribosomal RNA". The record is from RNAcentral.